This 253-nucleotide ribosomal RNA is filed under the name uncultured bacterium. RNAcentral describes it as "partial 16S ribosomal RNA". It matches the Rfam family "Bacterial small subunit ribosomal RNA", at positions 524 to 776 of the family's 1533-position model. The record is from RNAcentral.
UACGGAGGGUCCAAGCGUUAUCCGGAAUCAUUGGGUUUAAAGGGUCCGUAGGCGGUUUUGUAAGUCAGUGGUGAAAGCCCAUCGCUCAACGGUGGAACGGCCAUUGAUACUGCAAGACUUGAAUUAUUGUGAAGUAACUAGAAUAUGUAGUGUAGCGGUGAAAUGCUUAGAGAUUACAUGGAAUACCAAUUGCGAAGGCAGGUUGCUACCAAUACAUUGACGCUGAUGGACGAAAGCGUGGGGAGCGAACAGG